CCUACGGGGGGCUGCAGUAAGGAAUAUUGGUCAAUGGACGAAAGUCUGAACCAGCCAUCCCGCGUGCAGGAUGAAAGCCCUAUGGGUUGUAAACUGCUUUUAGCAGAGAAGAAAAGCUUCCAUUUAUGGGGGUCUGACGUUAUCUGCAGAAUAAGCACCGGCCAACUCCGUGCCAGCAGCCGCGGUAAUACGGAGGGUGCGAGCGUAAUCCGGUUAUACGGUGUUUAAGGGGUGCAUUAAGGCAGUGGUAAAAUCUUGGCGCUUAACGAUAAAAUUGCCAAUGAUACUGGUACUCUUGAAUUGGGUUGAGGUUAGCGGAAUGUGACAUGUAGCGGUGAAAUGCAUAGAUAUGUCAUGGAACACCAAUUGCGAAGGCAGCUAACUGGGCCUUGAUUGACGCUGAGGCACGAAAGCGUGGGUAGCGAACAGGAUUAGAUACCCGAGUAGUC
RNAcentral lists this ribosomal RNA (449 nucleotides) under uncultured bacterium. Its description in RNAcentral is "partial 16S ribosomal RNA". It matches the Rfam family "Bacterial small subunit ribosomal RNA", at positions 338 to 795 of the family's 1533-position model. The record is from RNAcentral.